Podarcis lilfordi (Lilford's wall lizard) is the source of this 2141-nucleotide non-coding RNA. The record is from the annotation of a GenBank genome assembly. Lineage: Eukaryota; Metazoa; Chordata; Lepidosauria; Squamata; Lacertidae.
GUGAGGCCCAUUUGAAGCAACCAGCCAGUUCUCUGUCUAUAAACCUCUUGUACGUGGCAGUUCCGAUCAUUUUUUACGGAUUAAUUCAUUUGCUAUUUUCCACGAGCUUCAGAAAUAACCCCUGUAUACAUUUGCUUUGGUUCACCGCAACUCUGUCCUUUUAAGACUAAGCACAAAGGGAUUAAAGCCGUCAGACUUCAGGUUUGCCUGGCUGCAAAUUCAGAUGUUUGACUUACAGUUAUUGGCUCUAGGGAAGUUGGAUUUGUUUCUGUAUAUUUAUGUUGCCAAGAAACAAAGAAAUGACUAUUGUAAGAAUUUUUCCUGGUGCUGGUUGUACACAAGAAUUUCCUUGUGUAGCCUGAACUAUAAGUACGUAAUCAUAAUUGUCUUCAGCAGUGGGUUUUUUUAAUAUAAAAAGAGGGUACUCAAGGGUACGCAGUACCGACACCUAUUUUGUUGUUGUUGUUGUUAAAAAGAGUGGCACUUACGGCACCCAUUUUUCUAGAAUGGAUCUUCAGAACCAUUCAGAUAGCCAAUGCAUACCACAAACUGCUUAAGGCAGAGUAUUGGAAUUUCAGCUGAAUGUAGUACAGUGGUACCUCAGGUUACAUACGCUUCAGGUUACAUACACUUCAGGUUACAGACUCCGCUAACCCAGAAAUAGUGCUUCAGGUUAAGAACUUUGCUUCAGGAUGAGAACAGAAAUCAUGCUCCGGCGGCGCGGCGGCAGCAGGAGGCCCCAUUAGUUAAAGUGGUUCUUCAGGUUAAGAACAGUUUCUGGUUAAGAACGGACGUCCGGAACGAAUUAAAUACUUAACUCGAGGUACCACUGUAUUAUACCGGGGGGGGGGUGUCAAAUUUUAUUUGAACUUCUUGAUGCUGUAAUAAGGUAGUUGUCUUACCAAUAGUACAAAGCCACAUUAUUUAUUUAAGUCAUUUAUACCCCAACAUUCAGAUAAAAAGACUGUCCGAGAAACUUACAAAAACGAGUACAGUAGUCCUUGUCUUUCAUUUUACAGUGACAUGAUACACGAGGAAAAGUGAAGAGGACAAAGAAAGGGGGGAAACAAGCUCAGGCCCCGGUUAUUAUAACACAUUUAUGCAGAUCUGUGAAGAUCCUGGCUGUCUAGGAGAGCAGAAAAAUAUCCACCCUGAUCAGAGGACAAUGUCUAGGCUAAGAGGCCACGGCUGUUCCUGCAACACAGUUCUGUUCCCAGACAGCUGACUUGAUGGCAGCUAGAAUCCUCAUAAGGUCACACGUAGGCACAGAUGAAUCUGUCAGUUUCUGUUUCUCUCAGUUUCUAAUUUUUCCAGUCACAUUACUGCAUCAGUUGGUGAUUAUUGUUUACAUAGAAAAUGUCCUCAUGAAAAUCCAUCAGUACUUUUGUAUGCAGUUUUGCCUAAUAUGCACAUUUUUGCUAGCAAUCUUUUAGGUUAUUUCCAUGAAUAUAUGCAUCUUUGAAUACAAAAUUGUAUGAUUUUUGCACACAUUUACUUACAAAAAUGCAUUGCAAAAUUCUGAGAAGUGAGAAUUUCAAAGGAUAGCCAUGUUUCAGCUCACCUAGUGUUUUGGAAACUGCAACUCUUCCCUGUCACUACUACUCACAGCAGGGGUUUGAUGGCCAACGCUAGUGGAAUUUCUGGCUGACUUGGCACUGGCAAGGAGCGACCCCUUCGCAGAAGUACUCUUCCCUACCCCAAGCAGAUCCUUGACCAGAGCAGAUGACAAUGUCCUGGCCAGAAGGGCAGGGCUGCUUUAGCCACCCAGUUCUUUUCUCAGACAGCUCAUUUAUGAUUAAUUAUAUUGAGCAUAUACUUAUUUAAAAUGGAUUGGACCCUUUUCUGCAUUCAGUAAUUCUUUUGUUUGAGUGUCUGUUAAGUUCAAUGAAAUUAAAAAGAUAUCCACAAAACAGUGAAAGAACACUGUUCUGGAAAUAACAGAGAAUACAUGCUCAUCAGAUGUUAGAUGCUAAGAAGGAUAAAAAUUAAAGCAGGUGGAUGGAUUAAAUCAAAUGAAGCGGCUAGGCUUAGGCCACAAUAAACUAUGUGCUAUUAGAGGAUAUUAAGAUAAUGAUCAUUUGGGUUAGCCUACAGCCUAAUAAGAAUUCUGGGAUUGUAAAUAACCCUUGAUGGGUACAAUA